RNAcentral lists this long non-coding RNA (602 nucleotides) under Amborella trichopoda. RNAcentral describes it as "long non-coding RNA (ATRI_LNC001692)". Lineage: Eukaryota; Viridiplantae; Streptophyta; Magnoliopsida; Amborellales; Amborellaceae. The record is from RNAcentral.
UUUGUUCAAAAACCAAAAUAUUUAGGGUUAAUUUUGGGCUGGAAAGAUGCUACUCGAAGACCUUGUGAUCGAUCCAAAAAUAAGAGAUUUUGGAUCGAUUUUUUGGUCCUUUUUUAUCAAAUUGAUUUGUUUAUUUUGAUCACCAAAGCUUCAUUUGUCACAUAAAAUAGGUAUGCUUAUUUAUUAUUGAGUAAAUUUUUUUAUGUGAAUUUUUUUCUUGCUUGAUCUCACAUAUAUAAAUUUUCCAAGAUUUCUUCAAUUGAAUAAAAAAUACCAAAUAUUUUUUUUAUGAUUUUUUGUGCAUUUGAAAGGAUGAUCGAAGCCUUUAUAGGGUUUGUGUCUUGAUUCGUUCUAUUAUCCGAACAUUGAGGGUCGUUUUUAUUUGAAAUGUUGCUCAAUUUUAUAAGUUUCUUAGAAAAUAUUUUUUCAAAAAAAAAUUAAUUUGCUUAAUAAAAUUAGGAAAAAGUUUAUAUAAGGUUGCAGCCUUAAAAUGUAGAACUAAGGAGGCACCUCAAAAAUCCAUCGAUAAAGAUUGUUUUAAUAUUGAAAAACACUUUAAUUGAUCAUCUCGGCAUGAAGAUGCAUGACUAUGAUUUUGCCAC